Molecule: long non-coding RNA, 703 nt
Organism: Diabrotica virgifera virgifera (western corn rootworm)
Lineage: Eukaryota; Metazoa; Arthropoda; Insecta; Coleoptera; Chrysomelidae
Exons: 2
Source: RefSeq, a predicted model, not a curated record
UUACAACUUACAACUUACACGUUACGGUCGGUUCGGUUUCGUUCGUUACCCUGACUGAUGUCAUACCCACGAAAACGAGAGUGUUGCCACUGGUGGUAAAUUUCCCUUUCUGCGAGAAUUUUCAACAUAAAAGGGAAAAAGUUAACUUAAUAAGGGAAUCUCUUUGCUCCAGUCCAAAUUGUAAAAUAUUUAUAAAAAUCAAAAUAUUUGAAAAUAAUUCAACAUAUUUUCACAGAUUUUUUAAAUAGGAGCAUAGGAGGGAAUUUUAUCAUAAAAGUGGGAAUUUUUAAGGUAGGUUGAGGGGAAAAAGCUUACUCGACAGCUGGCAACACGGGAAAAGUGACCUGCCAUUGCCAUCCUGCCAAGCGGUGAUAAUUUGUGGUUAGGUAUAUCCUAUCCUAUGUUGAUAUUUUUCUUUGAUUUUUUUACAUUUACCGUACAAUUCUCCGAGAUUAUUACUUUAAUUACUAAGCUGAAGCUUGUUUUCUUCAGUUUUUCAUAGACCCACCUGCUUGUGGUGAUUAGGAUUAGGUACAGAUUGGUAUUCUUUUUGCUUUGGUGAAAUUGAGAGCUGAGACAAAACUGAGCAUCGGAAUCUGAAGCUAGCGCUAGCGGGUUUAAUGUAAGUUCCAAUAAAUAAUUUUAGACAAUAGAUUGUAUUUUAGUUGAGUGAUUACUGAAUAAAUAGUUAUAUAAAAUGGUA